UUCUCCUUCUUCAUUUUCAGUUUCAGUUUUAGCCUCAUUUUCAUUUUUCAGUUCCUUGUCACACGGAUUGCUGCAUCUCUUCUUCUUUCAUUUGCUUCUUCUCUUGCCGUGCAUCAUCUCCUUCUUCCUCCUCAUUUUAUUUUCUGGUUUCUCUUCACUCGGCAGUUCUUGGUUGUGCCGAAAUCUGUGGCUUGUUCUUUCAGCUGAUUUUGAUGUAGAGGACGUGGAGGCUGAAUCCAAGGAGGUGGCUUUGCCGGAUGAGUGAUCAGGGAUCACUCGUGGAUUAUGAUAUAUUUCUAAUUUUUGUUUAUUAUUUUAAUUUGUAUUAUAUUUAUAUUGGUUAAUUGUAAUAUUUUUGAUACGCUUGUUUUAAGCGAAUUUGUAUUUAAAAAAAGUUCUAGUAUUUAAUUGAAAGACUUUUUAUUA
Long non-coding RNA from Carya illinoinensis, 426 nucleotides. RefSeq lists it as uncharacterized. The record is from RefSeq and is a predicted model, not a curated record. The transcript is spliced from 2 exons. Lineage: Eukaryota; Viridiplantae; Streptophyta; Magnoliopsida; Fagales; Juglandaceae.